RNAcentral lists this long non-coding RNA (2717 nucleotides) under Callithrix jacchus (white-tufted-ear marmoset). Its description in RNAcentral is "lncRNA (ENSCJAG00000083117.1)". The record is from RNAcentral. Lineage: Eukaryota; Metazoa; Chordata; Mammalia; Primates; Cebidae.
GGCUUUUUAUCCUGUCGUUUCUACCCCAAAUGCUCAGCUCAAAGGUACCUCCUCCAGGAAAUCUUGCACAUCCUACCCCCUCUCAUUAAUCACUCCCUUUCACAGAUGGAAAGCUCUCGGCCAUUUCACCCCACUGUGUUGCAUUUCUUUCCUUCUCUUUGCAUGUUCAUUUCCAUUUCGACUCUGGGUCCUUCAUAGCAGGAACCACAACCCAUUUGGUGCCAUGGCCCGCAGUGAGCUUGGCAAAGAAGACAGGCUGAGUUUUGGCUACUGAACUCAGUAAACACCCAGCAGUGAUGUGGCACCUCAGUCCCAAAGAUGGGUCCAUUACCAGGUCCACAUGACAGAGGCUGGGGCCACUUCUGCAGCCCAAGGGUCCUUCAGGUCUAGAGCUCAACCAGAAAACAUGGCCUUUCUUCCUACCUCCUAUCCAGCCUCAUGCCAGUUCCCCAAUUCUGUGAUUGGGAAAACUGAGGCCCAAAGAUCAGGGACUUGUCCAAACCUCCAGACUCACUGUACUAGUCCCUUCUCACAGGGUUACAAAGAAAUAUUUGAGGCUGGGUAAUGUAUAAAGAAAAGAGGUUUCAUUGGCACACGUUUCCUCAGGCUGUGAAGCAUGAUGCUGGCAUCUGCUCGGCUUCUUGGGAGGCCUCAGGAAAACUUCAAAUCAUGGGAGAAGGUUUUAGGGGAAGCAGAUAAGUCUUACAUGGCCAGAGCAGGAGCAAGAGAGGGGGUGGGGGUGCUACAUACUUUUAAACAACCAGAUCUGGUGAGAACUCUAUUGUGACAACAGCACUAGGGGCAUGGUGCUAAACCAUUCAUGAGACACCACCCCCACGAUCUAAUCACCUCCCUCCAGGCCCCACCUCCAACACUGGGGAUUACAAUUCCACAUGCAAUCUGGGUGGUACAGUGCUGUCCGCCCUUUUAGGGAUGCCUGCUUGACGAGUUCCCUUCCGUCACAUUCAGGAAGACCACAGGUCUUCCAUUCACUCACUCAACAGAUAUUUACCAAUGCCGGUCAAGGGCCCAGCAUACUGCCAAGCUCUGGGGCUACAGUACUGAACAAAACAGACCCUGUCCUUGCCUUCAGGGAGGUCACAGUCUGGACCAUGGUGCGUGCCCUUGAUCCUACCGCAAGCAUCUGUCACUCUCAACUGACGGCUUUCUCUCAGCCCAAGCACGUGUUAGACGGGACGCACCCGGUGGUCCAGGAGCAGCCUUCCACUAACAAUGGUGAAAGGACAUUGGAGGAUAAACAGCCCAGCCUCCUAAACCCUGGGAUGAGGAUAAUCCGAGGCAGUCUGGAACUGACUCCAAGAGGGAUUGAGGCCCCCAGAGGGAUUGAGGCCCAGUUGUCUGCAGUAAAACCUGCUCAUUAUCACACCGUGUAUUCAUUUCCCUCUCCUCUCUCUCACUUCCCCACUCCCCAACAGAGCUCCUGGGAUCACUACGAAAUAAACUACUUGCCCUCGAAUCCUUGACUUAGGGUCUGCUUGUGGGGGAAGCAGCUUUGCACACUGUGAUAAUUAAUUUCAUGGGUCAACAUAGUUGGACUGCUGCUAUGAUUUGAGUGUGUCUGUCCCUCUGAAACUCAUAGGUUGGAACUUAAACCCCAACGUGAUGGUAUUGAGAGAUGGGGCUUUGGGGAAGUGACUAAGUCAUGGGUCUGACUUCAUGGAUGGAUUUGUGCCCUUAUAAAAGAGGACUCGGAGAGCUGCCUGGCCCUUGUUAGCCUUCUACUUCUGCUGUCAUGUUGAGGGCAGAGCAUUUGUCCUUUUUUGUCCCCUUCACCAUGUGAGCAUGCAGCAAGAAAGUACCAUCUUGGAAGUCGAGAGCAGCCCUCACCAGAAACUGAAAGCAAGUGACUUGAUCUUGGACUUUCCAGCUUCCAGAACUGUAAGAAACAAAUUUCUGGGCUGGGUGUGGUGGCUUAUGGCUGUAAUCCCAGCACUUUGGGAGGCCAAGGCAGGAGGAUCACCUGAGGUCAGGAGUUCGAGACCAGGCUGGCCGACAAAGCGAAAUCCCUCUCUACUAAAAAUAUAAAAAUUAGCCAGGUAUAGUGGCAUACACCUGUAAUCCCAGCUACUCAGGAGGCUGAGGCAGGAGAAUCGCUUGAGCUUGGGAGUCAGAGGUUGCCAGUGAGCCAAGAUCGUGCCACUGCAGUACAGUCUGACAGUCUCCACAACAGACCCUGAAGAAAGAGAGAGAAAGAGAGAGAGAGAGAGAGAGGAAGAAAGGAAGAGAAAUUUCUGUUUUUUAUAAAACUACCCUGUCACAGAUAUUUUUUUAUCGCAGUACAUACACACUAAGACAACCAGUCCCCAGAUAUUUGAUCAAAUAUUAUUCUGGACUUUCCUGUGAGGGUAUAUUUUGGGGUUUUUUGUUUUCAUUCUUUUGGUUUCGUUGAGACAGAGUCUCACUCUGUCACCCAGGCUGGAGUGCAGUGGUGUGAUCUGGGCUCACUGCAACCUCCACCUCCCAGGUUCAAGUGAUUCUCCUACCUCAGCCUCCCGAAUAGCUGGGAUUACAGGUGUGUGCCACCAUACCUGGCUAAUUUUCUGUAUUUUUAGUAGAGACGGGGUUUCACUCUGUUAGCCAGGCUGGUCCUGGAGAGUGUAUUUUGGAUAAGACUACCAUUUUAAUCUAUGGACAUCAAAUAAGGCAGAUUGGCCUCCCUAAUGUGGGUGGGCCUCAUCCAAUCAGUUGAAGGCCUG